GACGAACGCUGGCGGCGUGCCUAAUACAUGCGAGUAGAACGCUGAAGGAGGAGCUUGCUCUUCUGGAUGAGUUGCGAACGGGUGAGUAACGCGUAGGUAACCUGCCUGGUAGCGGGGGAUAACUAUUGGAAACGAUAGCUAAUACCGCAUAAGAGUGGAUGUUGCAUGACAUUUACUUAAAAGGUGCAAUUGCAUCACUACCAGAUGGACCUGCGUUGUAUUAGCUAGUUGGUGGGGUAACGGCUUACCAAGGCGACGAUACAUAGCCGACCUGAGAGGGUGAUCGGCCACACUGGGACUGAGACACGGCCCAGACUCCUACGGGAGGCAGCAGUAGGGAAUCUUCGGCAAUGGACGGGAGUCUGACCGAGCAACGCCGCGUGAGUGAAGAAGGUUUUCGGAUCGUAAAGCUCUGUUGUAAGAGAAGAACGAGUGUGAGAGUGGAAAGUUCACACUGUGACGGUAUCUUACCAGAAAGGGACGGCUAACUACGUG
RNAcentral lists this ribosomal RNA (495 nucleotides) under uncultured bacterium. RNAcentral's name for it is "partial 16S ribosomal RNA". It matches the Rfam family "Bacterial small subunit ribosomal RNA", at positions 28 to 507 of the family's 1533-position model. The record is from RNAcentral.